AUUGAGAUUUUAGAACAACAAUGGAUAAAAGAGAA
Molecule: small RNA, 35 nt
Filed under: Arabidopsis thaliana (thale cress)
Lineage: Eukaryota; Viridiplantae; Streptophyta; Magnoliopsida; Brassicales; Brassicaceae
Description: ATSL168000
Source: RNAcentral